RNAcentral lists this transfer RNA (64 nucleotides) under Apicotermes arquieri. Its description in RNAcentral is "tRNA-His". It matches the Rfam family "tRNA". Rfam says of the family: Transfer RNA (tRNA) molecules are approximately 80 nucleotides in length. Their secondary structure includes four short double-helical elements and three loops (D, anti-codon, and T loops). Lineage: Eukaryota; Metazoa; Arthropoda; Insecta; Blattodea; Termitidae. The record is from RNAcentral.
AUCUAAAUAGUUUAAUGAAAAUGUUGGUUUGUGGUGCCGAUGAUAUAGAUUUCUAUUUUAGAUA